This is a long non-coding RNA of Mustela lutreola (European mink), 343 nucleotides long. RefSeq lists it as uncharacterized. The transcript is spliced from 4 exons. Lineage: Eukaryota; Metazoa; Chordata; Mammalia; Carnivora; Mustelidae. The record is from RefSeq and is a predicted model, not a curated record.
GUGUGGUUCAUGAGGAUUUUUUUUUUUUUUUUUUUAAGAGUGUGGGCCCAUUAGUACUCCCUGCCUGGUCUGAACGAUGGAUGACUGUCUCGAUAAUGUUUUCUGCAGCGUCUCUCUUGGCCAAACCUGGCAGGGAACCAGCUGGAAAAGGGAGACCGAGCAGAGCAGAGGAGGUGAGCCCUGGCUGCGAGCAAACUGGACAGAGAGAGACGGGAAGAUAAACACUGAGCCAGAGUGGACAUAUUCUACAGAUUUUCUGAGCUGUUGACAGUGGAAGCCCAGGCUGCAAGCCCAUUUCCAGGGAGAGCAGACAUGAAGGACGCUGCUUGGAAUGCGGAAAUAA